RNAcentral lists this ribosomal RNA (1878 nucleotides) under Plinthisus sp. WCW-2003. Its description in RNAcentral is "bacterial SSU rRNA". It matches the Rfam family "Eukaryotic small subunit ribosomal RNA", at positions 30 to 1412 of the family's 1831-position model. Lineage: Eukaryota; Metazoa; Arthropoda; Insecta; Hemiptera; Rhyparochromidae. The record is from RNAcentral.
GCUUGUCUCAAAGCUUAAGCCAUGCAAGUCUCAGUACAAGCUACAUUAAAGUGAAACCGCAAAAGGCUCAGUAAACCGGUCAUAGUUUACCGGAACUAUGCCACUUACGUGGAUAACUGUGGUAAUUCUAGAGCUAAUACAUGCAAACAAGUCCGGACCAGAGAUGGAAAGGACGCUUUUAUUGGAUCAAAACCAUUCGCCUCCGGGCGUCUGCUUGAUGACUCUAGAUAACAACACAGAUCGCACGGUCAUAGUACCGGUGACAUAUCCUUCAAAUGUCUGACUUAUCAGCUGUCGAUGGUAGACUCUUUGUCUACCAUGGCACUCACGGGUGACGGGGAAUCAGGGUUCGAUUCCGGAGAGGGAGCCUGAGAAACGGCUACCACUUCCAAGGAAGGCAGCAGGCACGCAAAUUACCCACUCCCAGAACGGGGAGGUAGUGACAAAAAAUAACGAUACGGGACUCAUCCGAGGCCCCGUAAUCGGAAUGAGAACAAUCUAAAUCCUUUAACGAGGAUCUAUUGGAGGGUAGGUCUGGUGCCAGCAGCCGCGGUAACACCAGCUCCAAUAGCGUAUAUUAAAGUUGUUGCGGUUAAGGGGACAGGCGGUUAGAAGCCGCACGAGACUGAGCAAUAACAGGUCAGGGAUGCCCUUAGAUGUUCUGGGCCGCACGCGCGCUACACUGAAGGAAUCAGCGUGUGCAUCCCUGUCCGAAAGGACCGGGUAACCCGCUGAACCUCCUUCGUGCUAGGAAUUGGGGCUUGCAAUUGUUCCCCAUGAACGAGGAAUUUCUAGUAAGCAUGAGUCAUUAGCUCAUGUUGAUUACGUCCCUGCUCUUUGUACACACCGCCCGUCGCUACCCCUGAUUGGGUGAUUUAGUGAGGUCUUCGGACCGGCGAUAACCGACGCCGACUUUGUUCGGUAUCGAUUUUGCUGGAAAGAUGACCGAACUUGAUUAUUUAGAAGAGGUAAAAGUCGUAACAAGGUUUCCCUUGGCAAAUGCUUUCGCAAAAAGCUCGUAGUUGGUUCUGCGUGCCACGCUGUCGGUUCACCGCCUGCCGGUGCAACUGGCAUGCCGUGGCAUGUCCUGUCGGUGGCUGAUGGGUCGCUUGGUAGGGCCCUAUGCGGCAACGUGUAGGUGUCCCUCUCCUUGCGCCUUGUAAGCCGGCUCAAUCCUACCGCGGUGCUCUUUACCGAGUGUCGAGGUAGGCCGGCACUGUUUACUUUGAACAAAUUAGAGUGCUUAAAGCAGGCUUAUAAAUGAGCCUGAAUAGUUGUGCAUGGAAUAAUGGAACAGGACCUUGGUUCUAUUUUGUUGGUUUUCGGAAUCCAAGGUAAUGAUCAAUAAGGACAGGCGGGGGCAUUCGUAUUGCGGCGUUAGAGGUGAAAUUCUUGGAUCGUCGCAAGACGCACUAAAGCGAAAGCAUUUGCCAAGUAUGUCUUAAUUGAUCAAGAACGAAAGUUAGAGGAGCAAAGGCGAUCAGAUACCGCCCUAGUUCUAACCAUAAACGAUGUCAGCCAGCGAUCCGCCGAUGUUCCUCCGAUGACUCGGCGGGGAGCUCCCCCCGGGAAACCAAAGCUUUUGGGUUCCGGGGGAAGUAUGGUUGCAAAGCUGAAACUUAAAGGAAUUGACGGAAGAGCACCACAAGAAGUGGAGCCUGCGGCUUAAUUUGACUCAACACGGGAAAUCGUUCUAGGCCCGGACAUUGGAAGGAUUGACAGAUUGAUAGCUCUUUCUCGAUUCAGUGGAUAGUGGUGCAUGGCCGUUCUUAGUUGGUGGAUUGGUUUGUCUGAUUAAUUUCGAUAACGAGCGAGACUCUAGCCUAUUAACUAGGCGACUCCUGUAUAGAAUAACUACAGGCGAUUAUUUCUCUUCUU